GGCAGCUUGGCCGAGUGGUUAUGGCGCAGGUUUUAGGCACCUGUUUCUUUGAUUCGUGGGUUCGAAUCCCACAGCUGUCA
This 80-nucleotide transfer RNA is filed under the name Dactylellina haptotyla CBS 200.50. RNAcentral's name for it is "tRNA-Leu (TAG) (tRNA-Leu-TAG-1-1)". It matches the Rfam family "tRNA". From Rfam's summary of the family: Transfer RNA (tRNA) molecules are approximately 80 nucleotides in length. Their secondary structure includes four short double-helical elements and three loops (D, anti-codon, and T loops). Further hydrogen bonds mediate the characteristic L-shaped molecular structure. tRNAs have two regions of fundamental functional importance: the anti-codon, which is responsible for specific mRNA codon recognition, and the 3' end, to which the tRNAs corresponding amino acid is attached (by aminoacyl-tRNA synthetases). tRNAs cope with the degeneracy of the genetic code in two manners: having more than one tRNA (with a specific anti-codon) for a particular amino acid; and 'wobble' base-pairing, i.e. permitting non-standard base-pairing at the 3rd anti-codon position. Lineage: Eukaryota; Fungi; Ascomycota; Orbiliomycetes; Orbiliales; Orbiliaceae. The record is from RNAcentral.